CAUUAUAAUCCGCAAUGUGUGCGAUAUUUGUAUUUGAUUUUCGUUUUCAGUGACGUAUAUGGUGGCGUCAUUAAGAUAGGAGGGAAAUUCGUCUAUCUAACUUUUAGUAUUGUCUUUAAAUCGGCAUUUCGGUUGAUCCUGCGAGCUAUUGGUUAUGAAAAAAACGUGUCAAAAUGUCGGAACAUGGUUUGUGAACCUCACAGACAGUUGUUAAUUAGUAAUCAAGUUUUCGAAUUUUUUUUUUUACUUUUGGACUUUUCACACGGCUUUUCAUAAAUAUUUUUAACUUUCAAAAUAAAAUAUAUACAAUUGAAUAGUCUGUACACAAAAACGGCACGAAAUUGUGUAUAAUUUUCAUAGUUUCCAAGCAAAUUUAAAUAUCUUAAUGCUCAUGGAUUGAUAAAAGUAUCCGAGAUACAAGUGAAUGUUGAGAUACAGUUCUGGAAAGUA
Non-coding RNA from Cinara cedri, 450 nucleotides. The record is from the annotation of a GenBank genome assembly. NCBI's taxonomy places the organism in Eukaryota, Metazoa, Arthropoda, Insecta, Hemiptera, Aphididae.